CUGACGAACGAGCGAACUCCCCGCGGAUGCAGGAGGAGGAGGUGUAGGAGCGACCACCGACCAUCCGCGUUUCACCAUCCCCUUCUCCGAUCUCAAGGGUUUGUCCGCUGGUUUGCUAAGGCAAGCAACGUACAUAGACUGCUCGUCUUGGAUCCUUCAGGAAUCAUAAAAGCAUAUGAAGGAACAAUGUAUAGGCUACAAAGAAGCAUAAGAAGCAUUUUUAUAGCAGAAGCCAAGUUUUCUGAUGAUUUUGUUUUUUCAAUUGUGUUUUCUGUUAUUAGUUCAACAUGCACAUAUAUUGACAUGAUUUAUGGCAUGGCAUCUGCCAUCUUUGUUAUAUUUAUGACAUUGUUCUUGAUUGAUGUGUGCGACAUGAAUGAUGGAUCUUUUUAA
This 393-nucleotide unclassified non-coding RNA is filed under the name Zea mays. RNAcentral's name for it is "misc RNA Zm00001eb059470". Lineage: Eukaryota; Viridiplantae; Streptophyta; Magnoliopsida; Poales; Poaceae. The record is from RNAcentral.